GUAAGGAAUAUUGGACAAUGGGCGCAAGCCUGAUCCAGCCAUCCCGCGUGCAGGAAUAAGGCCCUAUGGGUCGUAAACUGCUUUUACAAGAGAAGAAACGCUAGGAUUUAUCUUAGUCUGACGGUAUCUUGGGAAUAAGCACCGGCUAACUCCGUGCCAGCAGCCGCGGUAAUACGGAGGGUGCAAGCGUUAUCCGGAAUCACUGGGUUUAAAGGGUGCGUAGGCGGCUAAAUAAGUCAGAGGUGAAAUCUUUCCGCUUAACGGAAAAAUUGCCUUUGAAACUGUAUAGCUUGAAUGAAGUUGAGGUUAGCGGAAUGUGACAUGUAGCGGUGAAAUGCAUAGAUAUGUCAUAGAACACCAAAUGCGAAGGCAGCUAGCUAGGCUUGAAUUGACGCUGAGGCACGAAAGCGUGGGGAGCGAACAGG
Molecule: ribosomal RNA, 425 nt
Filed under: uncultured bacterium
Lineage: Bacteria
Description: bacterial SSU rRNA
Rfam family: Bacterial small subunit ribosomal RNA
Source: RNAcentral